CGCGGGGUGGAGCAGCCUGGUAGCUCGUCGGGCUCAUAACCCGAAGGUCGUCGGUUCUCAUAACCCGAAGGUCGUCGGUUCAAAUCCGGCCCCCGCAACCA
This 101-nucleotide transfer RNA is filed under the name Escherichia coli. RNAcentral describes it as "tRNA-Met". It matches the Rfam family "tRNA". Rfam says of the family: Transfer RNA (tRNA) molecules are approximately 80 nucleotides in length. Their secondary structure includes four short double-helical elements and three loops (D, anti-codon, and T loops). Lineage: Bacteria; Pseudomonadati; Pseudomonadota; Gammaproteobacteria; Enterobacterales; Enterobacteriaceae. The record is from RNAcentral.